GUGGGGAAUUUUGGACAAUGGGCGCAAGCCUGAUCCAGCAAUGCCGCGUGCAGGAAGAAGGCCUUCGGGUUGUAAACUGCUUUUGUACGGAACGAAACGGUCCGGGUUAAUACCCUGGGCUAAUGACGGUACCGUAAGAAUAAGCACCGGCUAACUACGUGCCAGCAGCCGCGGUAAUACGUAGGGUGCAAGCGUUAAUCGGCAUUACAGGGCGUAAAGCGUGCGCAGGCGGUUUUGUAAGACAGGCGUGAAAUCCCCGGGCUCAACCUGGGAAUUGCGCUUGUGACUGCAAGGCUGGAGUGCGGCAGAGGGGGAUGGAAUUCCGCGUGUAGCAGUGAAAUGCGUAGAUAUGCGGAGGAACACCGAUGGCGAAGGCAAUCCCCUGGGCCUGCACUGACGCUCAUGCACGAAAGCGUGGGGAGCAAACAGGAUUAGAAACCCCAGUAGUCC
RNAcentral lists this ribosomal RNA (450 nucleotides) under uncultured bacterium. Its description in RNAcentral is "partial 16S ribosomal RNA". It matches the Rfam family "Bacterial small subunit ribosomal RNA", at positions 354 to 796 of the family's 1533-position model. The record is from RNAcentral.